AGUGAAGCGGCAACAGCUCAAAUUUGAAAUCUGGCGUCUUUGGCGUCCGAGUUGUAAUUUGCAGAGGGCGCUUUGGCAUUGGCAGCGGUCCAAGUUCCUUGGAACAGGACGUCACAGAGGGUGAGAAUCCCGUACGUGGUCGCUAGCCUUUACCGUGUAAAGCCCCUUCGACGAGUCGAGUUGUUUGGGAAUGCAGCUCUAAAUGGGAGGUAAAUUUCUUCUAAAGCUAAAUACUGGCCAGAGACCGAUAGCGCACAAGUAGAGUGAUCGAAAGAUGAAAAGCACUUUGGAAAGAGAGUUAAAAAGCACGUGAAAUUGUUGAAAGGGAAGCGCUUGCAGCCAGACUUGCCUGUAGUUGCUCAUCCGGGUUUUUACCCGGUGCACUCUUCUAUAGGCAGGCCAGCAUCAGUUUGGGCGGUUGGAUAAAGGUCUCUGUCAUGUACCUCUCUUCGGGGAGAACUUAUAGGGGAGACGACAUGCAACCAGCCUGGACUGAGGUCCGCGCAUCUGCUAGGAUGCUGGCGUAAUGGCUGUAAGCGGCCCGUCUUGAAACACGGACCAAGGAGUCUAACAUCUAUGCGAGUGUUUGGGUGUCAAGCCCGAGCGCGUAAUGAAAGUGAA
Molecule: ribosomal RNA, 621 nt
Filed under: Vacuiphoma oculihominis
Lineage: Eukaryota; Fungi; Ascomycota; Dothideomycetes; Pleosporales; Didymellaceae
Description: partial large subunit ribosomal RNA
Rfam family: Eukaryotic large subunit ribosomal RNA
Source: RNAcentral